RNAcentral lists this small RNA (332 nucleotides) under uncultured bacterium. Its description in RNAcentral is "bacterial SSU rRNA". It matches the Rfam family "Bacterial small subunit ribosomal RNA", at positions 69 to 358 of the family's 1533-position model. The record is from RNAcentral.
GAAAUCCUGGGCAACCGGGAGAGUAAAGUGGCGCACGGGUGAGUAACGCGUGGGUAACCUGCCCUUGAAUUGGGGAUAACUCUUCGAAAGGGGAGUUAAUACCGAAUAAUAUUCCAGCUUCUACGGGAGUUGGAAUCGAAGGUGGCCUCUACAUGUAAGCUAUCGUUCAAGGAUGGGCCCGCGCACCAUUAGCUAGUUGGUAGGGUAAUGGCCUACCAAGGCAAAGAUGGUUAGUUGGUCUGAGAGGAUGAUCAGCCACACUGGGACUGAGACACGGCCCAGACUCCUACGGGAGGCAGCAGUGGGGCAGUUGGCUCAUAACGAACGCUGGC